Molecule: ribosomal RNA, 1576 nt
Filed under: Seculamonas ecuadoriensis
Lineage: Eukaryota; Jakobea; Jakobida; Moramonadidae
Description: SSU rRNA
Rfam family: Bacterial small subunit ribosomal RNA
Source: RNAcentral
UAACAGAAGAGUUUGAUCCUGGCUCAGAAUGAACGCUUGCGAUACGCUUCACACAUGCAAGUCGAACGAAAUUUUCAUAUUGAAGAUUUAGUGGCGAACGGGUGCGCAAUACACGAGAACUUGCCUAAUAGUUCAGAAUAAGUAUAUGAGUUUUCACUCAGAACUUGAGUACUCUCGGGUACUUAAGGUACAAAUACUGAAUAAUCAAAGAUUAAUCGCUAUUAGAUAGGCUCGUGCAGGAAUAUGGUAGUUGGUAGAGUAAUAGCCUACCAAGCCUGUGAUCCUUAGCCGAUCUGAGAGGAUGGUCGGCCACACUGGGACUGAGACACGGCCCAGACUUCUACGGAAGGCAGCAGUGGGGAAUCUUGGACAAUGGGCGAAAGCCUGAUCCAGCGAUAUCGCGUGAGUGAUGAAGGCUCUUUUGGUUGUAAAACUCUUUUAUCGAGGAAGAUAAUGACGGUACUCGAAGAAAAAGCCCCGGCUAACUCCGUGCCAGCAGCCGCGGUAAUACGGAGGGGGCUAGUGUUAUUCAUAUUAAUUGGGCGUAAAGGGCAUGUAGGUGGUUAAUUCAGUUGAAAGUACAAACCCUGAGCUUAACUUAGGGAGGUCUUUCAAUACUAAUUAACUUGAGUUUGAUAGGGGAUAGUGGAAUUUCUAGUGUAAGAAUAAAAUCUAUAAAUAUUAGAAGGAACACCUGAAGCGAAGGCGACUAUCUGGAUCAAUACUGACACUGAGAUGCGAAAGUGUGGGGAGCAAACAGGAUUAGAUACCCUGGUAGUCCACACUGUAAACGAUGAGUGUUAAAUAUUGGGUAUAAAUACUCAAUGUUACAGCUAACGCGUCAAACACUCCGCCUGGGGAGUAUAAUCGCAAGGUUGAAACUCAAAGGAAUUGACGGGGACCCGUACAAGCGGUGGAGCAUGUGGUUUAAUUCGAAACAACGCGCAGAACCUUACCAGCUCUUGACAUUAAAUUUGAAUCACGAGAGUGAUUCAUUAUAACAGUAAUUGUUAAAUUUAAUACAGGUGUUGCAUGGCUGUCGUCAGCUCGUGUCGUGAGAUGUUGGGUUAAGUCCUAUAACGAGCGCAACCCUUAUCACUAGUUGCUAAUCAUUUAUUGAUGCACUCUAGCGAAACUGCCUGUGAUAAACAGGAGGAAGGUGGGGAUGACGUCAAGUCCUCAUGACCCUUAUGGGCUGGGCUACACACGUGCUACAAUGGUAAUGACAAUAGGAAGCAAUGAUGCGAGUCGGAGCAAAACCUCUAAACAUUACCUCAGUUCAGAUUGUUCUCUGCAACUCGAGAACAUGAAGUCGGAAUCGCUAGUAAUCGCGGAUCAGAACGCCGCGGUGAAUACGUUCCCGGGUCUUGUACACACCGCCCGUCACACCCUGGAAGUUGGUUUUACCCGAAGUUAUUUAUCUAACUGAUUUAGUAGUAACAAUUAUUAUUCUAUUUUAUAUUUAGAAUAGUAGUUACUAAUAUUUCAGAGGAUGGUAAUCAUGGUAAGAUCGGUGACUAUGGUGAAGUCGUAACAAGGUAGCCGUAGGGGAACCUGUGGCUGGAUUAACUCCUUU